RNAcentral lists this long non-coding RNA (592 nucleotides) under Rhinopithecus roxellana (golden snub-nosed monkey). RNAcentral's name for it is "lncRNA (ENSRROG00000045849.1)". Lineage: Eukaryota; Metazoa; Chordata; Mammalia; Primates; Cercopithecidae. The record is from RNAcentral.
GGGGAGCGAAUUGCUUCUGAGGUUUGCUGACAUUCUGUUUGGCUGCCUGAAAUGCUUUCUCUUCAUUCAAAGAGCAGCUGCUGGUCUCCGCCUCUCUGUCUUUCCUUCCUCCUCCCAGUGGCUUCCCUGUUCCUGCUAUCCUGGCUUUCCUGGCUUUUUUGAUCCUCAUCCUGGCUCUGGGGGGAAGGAGGAUGGGUCUGGAGCACCUGUGGGACCCAAGCCUGGGCCCACCACAACAGAAGAUGCAGCUUCCCAGCCCCAAGAGCCCAAGAUUGGAGGCCCUGAGCAGAAGCUGGGCCUUAGUGCCAUCUUCUUGGAAACCCCUGCGCCGUGACAGUGGAGUGGAGAAAGAAGUGAAUACGCAUACUGAAGCACAAAGGAAGAAAGAUGAGGCAGAGGUCCAAGCAAACCGCUAGCUUGUUGCACCUGUGGAGGCCCCAGGAGCAGAAACAUGAGUGCCAGAGGCUGGGGAUGCUGGUACAAGUUGUUGGACUGCAUGCUACUGUCUAGAGCUUGUCUCAAUGCAUCUAGAACUUCAUUGCCAUCUGACCGCCGAGACCACCUCUGAGACCCACCUUUCUCAUGACCGUAA